UGUCGUGAGAUGUUGGUUAAGUCCCGCAACGAGCGCAACCCUACGUUAGUUGCUAACGCGUGAAGGCGAGCACUCUAGACGAACUGCCGUUGACAAAACGGAGGAAGGUGGGGAUGACGUCAAAUCAUCAUGCCCCUUAUGUUCUGGGCUACACACGUGCUACAAUGGCCGGUACAGACGGACGCAAAGCCGCGAGGUGGAGCAAAUCCUAAAAAGCCGGUCUCAGUUCGGAUUGCAGGCUGCAAUUCGCCUGCAUGAAGUCGGAAUCGCUAGUAAUCGCAGGUUAGCAUACUGCGGUGAAUACGUUCCCGGGCCUU
This 317-nucleotide ribosomal RNA is filed under the name uncultured Bacillus sp. RNAcentral describes it as "bacterial SSU rRNA". It matches the Rfam family "Bacterial small subunit ribosomal RNA", at positions 1063 to 1382 of the family's 1533-position model. Lineage: Bacteria; Bacillati; Bacillota; Bacilli; Caryophanales; Bacillaceae. The record is from RNAcentral.